UUUUUUUUCGCGCUCGUUUUAGCCAUGCUUUCCAGUCACAUUUUGUGGAGCUGUAUGUCUGCUAAGGCGUGCAUUGCGAAGUGCUUCGUCUGUUGAGUCUAAGGGAAAGGUAUUCGUCCUUAAAAGCUCAUUUUUAUCGCCUUCACACUGGCAAAUCGUUGUUUACACAAGAUUUGACUGUAGAAGCUUUGAAAUGCACCGUUUCCCUAUGUGAGUGCCAGUGUGAUGGAGUGAAAGGAUCAGACCAUCUAGAACAGGACACAACACCCUGCUUACAUUUGAAGGAGGGCUAGGACACACAAGAGACCUGUAGGCCCACUAUGCUGCAGCACGAACGACUGGGUCGACUUAGGAUUGAGUCCCCUCUCUGCCAGAAAUUAUCACUGUGUUCAAGGAAGACCCAGGCCCAAAUAAAGCUGCUAUGUCUAAGGUCAGCCCCUUUUCCUCAGCUUUUCAAGUUGGCAGUCAUCUAAUAUUAAAGACCAAGCCAAAGUCCCGCUCACCUCUGAAGAAGGGAAAGAUACACAGGCUUGUUGGUUCGCUCGGCAGUAGCAGUCCAUGAAAGGGCUGAAGCAGCUGACCUUUCUCCUUCGGCACACCUACAAGCCAGGGUAGAUUCUUGAUGUCCAGUGCUGUCCCUUUUUUGACUUCACAUGCCACAGAAAGGCAACACCUUUGAAACAUCUCAAAGUUUUGCAGACCUGGACUUUUCCAUGCCAUAAGACUGUUUAAAUCUGUGGACUUAUGCCUAAUUGCUAUGUAAG
Long non-coding RNA from Alosa alosa (allis shad), 764 nucleotides. RefSeq lists it as uncharacterized. The record is from RefSeq and is a predicted model, not a curated record. Lineage: Eukaryota; Metazoa; Chordata; Actinopteri; Clupeiformes; Clupeidae. The transcript is spliced from 7 exons.